RNAcentral lists this non-coding RNA (32 nucleotides) under Parcubacteria group bacterium GW2011_GWC2_40_10. RNAcentral also lists the same sequence under 3 other names. The record is from RNAcentral.
UGAAGAUAUAGUCUGUGCUCCUAGUGAUAGGG